Long non-coding RNA from Medicago truncatula (barrel medic), 514 nucleotides. RefSeq lists it as uncharacterized. The record is from RefSeq and is a predicted model, not a curated record. Lineage: Eukaryota; Viridiplantae; Streptophyta; Magnoliopsida; Fabales; Fabaceae. The transcript is spliced from 2 exons.
UUGUUUAUAGUGCACAACAUGCGCUUUAUACAUUAUAAAGGGAUCAAAUCAUAUUUUAUUUGUUACAUGCAAAUGGAAAAAAAUAUGACUAAAACUCUUAAAUUUAUUUAUGUUAUGAUUUUAUUUCUCUCCCUAUUUCUUGUUGCAGAAAGUUUUUUCGUGGAUAUUAUGUGUAAGGUUCAUGAAGAUUGUCCACAAAAAUCAACUCACAAGUAUUACUGCGUUGACGAUAAAUGUUUUUUGUAUUACUGGGAAGGCAAGCCUUGAUUUAGUUAUACUAGAGUGACACAAUAAAUUGCAUGAGUAUCAUACUUUAGAAAGUAUACUUAUGCUAUAUGGGGAUUAAUAAUGUGUUCUUACACUAUAAAAAUGCUACGCAAUGUAACUUUUGCUUGAUUAUUUUACGGUUUCCAUUCAUCUACUAUGAUCAUGGAGCCCAAUAAUUAUAUCUUUUAUUUGUUUAUUUAUGUUGUAAUUUAUGGACAUUGCAAUUAAUUAUGGCUUAUUUUUAGCA